CUCCCACCCUAUGUUAUUGUUACCUUUGUUGCUUUGGCGGGCCGUCAGGCCUCGGUCAGGCUACCGGCUUCAGCUGGUAAGCGCCCGCCANAGGACCCCAAACUCUGAAUAUUAGUGUCGUCUGAGUACUAUAUAAUAGUUAAAACUUUCAACAACGGAUCUCUUGGUUCUGGCAUCGAUGAANAACGCAGCGAAAUGCGAUAAGUAAUGUGAAUUGCAGAAUUCAGUGAAUCAUCGAAUCUUUGAACGCACAUUGCGCCCCUUGGUAUUCCGGGGGGCAUGCCUGUUCGAGCGUCAUUACAACCCUCAAGCCUGGCUUGGUAUUGGGCUUCGCCGUUUUGGCGGGCCUUAAAAUCAGUAACAGUGUCGUUGGGGCCCUGANCGUACACAUAUCCUCGCUAUAGGGAUUUCCACGGCCAUUAACCCUCACUUUCUAAGUUUGACCUCGGAUCANGUAGGGAUACCCGCUGAACUUAAGCAUA
This 482-nucleotide ribosomal RNA is filed under the name uncultured Helotiales. RNAcentral's name for it is "eukaryotic LSU rRNA". The stretch from base 144 to 297 matches the Rfam family "5.8S ribosomal RNA". Lineage: Eukaryota; Fungi; Ascomycota; Leotiomycetes; Helotiales. The record is from RNAcentral.